Long non-coding RNA from Myotis myotis, 1035 nucleotides. RefSeq lists it as uncharacterized. The transcript is spliced from 3 exons. NCBI's taxonomy places the organism in Eukaryota, Metazoa, Chordata, Mammalia, Chiroptera, Vespertilionidae. The record is from RefSeq and is a predicted model, not a curated record.
UGUUCCUGCAAAAGUGCUACGUUUUCAAGGAGACUCUAACAAGUACAGGUUUCUCAUAACCUUCAGAUCAUAUCCCUGAACUGGACACAGUUAGAAACACUGAUUAUACUCUGAAGGCUUGAACUGGAAUAUAUAUUUGAGAAUGCACAUAGAAGGAACUAAGGUUCACUUUAUGGAGCCAAUGAAACACCUUGGAAAACCAGCCUGGUACCUGCUUACAGGGUUCCUAGCUAGCAGCUUUGCCAGAAAUGUAUCUGAUUGCUUACACAAUAUAGGCCUAACUUUAGGAGCAAACCUGUAUCACCACCUCCUGCAACCAGAGACACUGUUUAAACAGACCUAUUCUCAGCACUAACAGGCUGCUUCAGUGAGCUGGAACCAUCUACCCACUCAGCUUUUGGACUAUGAAACUUCUUGAGGACUUUUCAAAGGUGGGGACCGAAAGGAACAGAAUGUGCCACUUUGGCAGGUGCAUCAUUUUGAGCUGAAGGGAAUCAAGACCCAGCAGACUAAGGAGUUUUUACUGCUCCCUUAUCUGUCUAGAAGAAUUUAGACAGUAGGCUGGUGCUAGAAAGAGAGCUAUUACCAGAGGUAACUUUUUUUUUUCUGAAAGUCUUAUCUGCAAGGCAGGGCAAACAUUGAUUAUCACACAUAUGCUUUUCUCACCUUCCUUCCCUUUUAAAUCCCUGGCCCCUAUCCAGGUCCUGAGCUCAGGAUAGUAUAUGAGCCUCAACUGUCUGUCUUUGAGUCUCUUAUUUUUAUGGGGCUCCCAUAACAUGUGCAAUUAAAUUUGUUUUUCUGUUAGAAUCUAUCUUAUGUAAAUUUAAUUAUGUACUGGACCAGCAGGAAAAAUUUUCUGCCUUUACAAUGUACACACACAUGCAUACCCCAAAGUAUUGCAAAAUUAAGAAAGAGUUGUGACUCUAAGUCACUACAGAGACAAUUGCAAGAUCCCUGUAACUCCAAAUGUGUACGAGUGAGCAACUUGAAUGUAUUGGAGGAAUGUUCUAGAGAUUAGUAAAAUACACAUUAUUU